AGUAAAUGUAAUUAAAGCUGGUUAAAAAAAAAAAGAUUCCAGGACCUUUUCAUUCUGGCCUUAAUAAACCUGCUUGCUCUGCUCCCUUCUCCUCCAGGGAGGGAUUCUGCCAUAUGUUAGGAGGCCCGGGACGUGGACCUUACACCUUUCGCCUGAUGUGUGGGCACAGCAAGUUGAGGAGGGCAGGUGGCGGGUGAGGACUAGGCUCUUUCAGGACCCCUUGGAGGAGGUUUUCCAGAGAGUGACUCUCGACACCAGGCAUAAGUAACCACAGCUGGUCUGUGGACGAGCAAACAAGGAAGGUCCAAACUGAGAGUCGCUGGUGUGCGGAAGUUCUAGAGAAAAUCGCAAGACCAGGAACGAGGGCGGCGGAAACAGAAGACAGCGCCGCGGAGGAGGGGACCUCGAGGUGGAAGAAAGCGUGGACAGAGCAAGCGACCCCGCAGGCGCGGGGCGUGGAACAGCGCCCACGUGCU
RNAcentral lists this long non-coding RNA (476 nucleotides) under Sus scrofa (pig). RNAcentral describes it as "lncRNA (ENSSSCG00015029532.1)". The record is from RNAcentral. Lineage: Eukaryota; Metazoa; Chordata; Mammalia; Artiodactyla; Suidae.